This 87-nucleotide small RNA is filed under the name Flavobacterium defluvii. RNAcentral describes it as "Flavo-1 RNA". It matches the Rfam family "Flavo-1 RNA". The record is from RNAcentral. Lineage: Bacteria; Pseudomonadati; Bacteroidota; Flavobacteriia; Flavobacteriales; Flavobacteriaceae.
CCCUAGCCCUGAUGGGGAACGGCAUUUUUUGUGUCUCGUUUUUUUUCUAACGAGACACAAAAAAUAUAGUGGACAGCAGGAAUCAGC